AAAUGUACUACUGGUAGUCAUGUGCUCACUAUCUCUGCCUUACUCUUGAUUCCUGCCUCCAGUGAACCCAGGAUGAAGGAGUGUUUCGACUCAUCUGACUCAUUAUGCCUUCUUUGCCCUGGAUCUGUGAAAUGUUCACCAAGACAGACAAAUGUAGAUGGAUUUCAAACUUUUUGGGACAGAGCAAAAGCAGUGUUUGGAAGAGAAUGGACAAUUUUGUAUGGUUAUAUUAGAAUCAAAGAAAUAAGUGAUAUAAACAUUAAAAGCUAAUCUCCAAGUAAUUAGAAGGAAAAAUAUAAUAAAUAUAAGAAGAUAAAUUAUUAAAAAAUAGAAACAAGCAAUACAGAAAGUUGGCAAAGACAAAACUUGUUUCUCUUUACUAGUCAAUAAAUGAAGGGGUAAGACAAAAUUUACCAAUAUGGGUAAUAAAAUGAGGAUGUCACUGUAGAUUUUAUAAUGUUACUACAAAUGUAACCAAUUAGAAGUACAGAAGUUCUAAUGAAAUAAUAUUCUCAAGAUGAAAUAAAAAGUCUCGAUAGCUCUGUAUCUAUUAAAGCAAUUGAUCUUACAAUAAAAAAUUUUCCACAUAGGAAUCUCCUAGACCAAGUAGUUUUAAUAGUAAAUUUUAUCAUUUAUGAAUAGCAGAAAUAAUACCA
Molecule: long non-coding RNA, 656 nt
Filed under: Homo sapiens (human)
Lineage: Eukaryota; Metazoa; Chordata; Mammalia; Primates; Hominidae
Description: non-protein coding lnc-ZWINT-2:3
Source: RNAcentral